Molecule: long non-coding RNA, 390 nt
Organism: Oxyura jamaicensis (ruddy duck)
Lineage: Eukaryota; Metazoa; Chordata; Aves; Anseriformes; Anatidae
Exons: 3
Source: RefSeq, a predicted model, not a curated record
AACUACAGGGCUGCAUGAGAGCAAACUUCAGUUCCCCUUGCUUGGAGCCAUGGCCCGAAGUUCUGUGGAGGAAAUCCAGGACAAAAAGAGCUAGAUGGCAGCUGGAUGACAGAAAUGUUCUACAAAUGAGGGAUUCUGUGAUUUGACCAGUUGUGUUUGAGCUGCACCUUGGGGGCAGAAGCAUCCUCAGAGAUGGAUGCUCUAACCACCAUAUAGAGCAGAACCAUAAAUAUCCUUUUCCAGCACUGGAGCUGCAGUUACAGUAUAGUGAAAUCUAUCAUCUCACUCAUAUAAGCUGCAAUCUGUCUGCAUCGGAAAAUGACCCAGAACUUUCUACCCACAGUGACUGGAUUCAAUUAUGGUUUUAAUUUAAGAGAUUUGAUGCAUAUA